Molecule: ribosomal RNA, 468 nt
Filed under: uncultured bacterium
Lineage: Bacteria
Description: partial 16S ribosomal RNA
Rfam family: Bacterial small subunit ribosomal RNA (bases 58-468)
Source: RNAcentral
GGGGGGGGGGGGGGGGGGGCGGGGGGGGGGCAGGGGGGGGGGGGGGGGGGGGGGGGGGGGGGGUGCGCGGGGGGCGGACGGGUGAGUAACACGUGAGUAACCUGCCCUGGACUUGGGGAGGACUUCAGGAAACUGGGGCUAAUACCGGGUAGGAGCUGCUGCUGCAUGGUGGGGGUUGGAAAGUUUCGGCGGUUGGGGAUGGACUCGCGGCUUAUCAGCGUGUUGGUGGGGUAGUGGCUUACCAAGGCUUUGACGGGUAGCCGGCCUGAGAGGGUGACCGGCCACAUUGGGACUGAGAUACGGCCCAGACUCCUACGGGAGGCAGCAGUGGGGAAUAUUGCACAAUGGGCGGAAGCCUGAUGCAGCAACGCCGCGUGCGGGAUGACGGCCUUCGGGUUGUAAACCGCUUUCGCCUGUGACGAAGCGUGAGUGACGGUAAUGGGUAAAGAAGCACCGGCUAACUACGUG